Molecule: transfer RNA, 73 nt
Filed under: Polaribacter sp.
Lineage: Bacteria; Pseudomonadati; Bacteroidota; Flavobacteriia; Flavobacteriales; Flavobacteriaceae
Also listed under: 1 other name
Description: tRNA-Lys
Rfam family: tRNA
About the family: Transfer RNA (tRNA) molecules are approximately 80 nucleotides in length. Their secondary structure includes four short double-helical elements and three loops (D, anti-codon, and T loops).
Source: RNAcentral
GACCUGGUAGCUCAGCUGGUAGAGCAUUUCACUUUUAAUGAAAGGGUCCUGGGUUCGAACCCCAGCCCGGUCA